Molecule: long non-coding RNA, 3635 nt
Organism: Pongo pygmaeus (Bornean orangutan)
Lineage: Eukaryota; Metazoa; Chordata; Mammalia; Primates; Hominidae
Exons: 7
Source: RefSeq, a predicted model, not a curated record
AGUUUUUGGGGAGUCAAAAAUCAUAUGUGGAUUUUUGACUUUGCAGGGCUCAGUGCCCAUCAUGUCCGCAUUGUUCAAAGCUCAACUGUACUUUAUUAUAGUGUCUUUUAUUGUUAAUUUGCAAUCUAAUAAGAUCUUGACUGUUUUUUUUGGGCCUACCAGAUCUGACUAUAGAUUUUUUUGUUCUUGAUACCUGUAUAGGACAGGAAUGAUGACUAAAACAUACUUCUCAAUAUGUAUCAUUGCCAACUCAGUUUCUCUUCCUGCAUCCCUUCUGACACCAACAUUAGGCCAUGAGGCUUUGUGCCCAUGGGAACAAUGGCACAGGGGAGGUCCUGUCCAAGAAAUAAAGCACUUUAGGGGAGGAGAGUGCAGACCAAAGAGGAAGGCACAGACGUCGGAUGCCUGUAUCCUCACGUCCUCCUCCUGUUAAGAGAAUUCAUGGAAUACCAGUGGCUACUGUCAUGCUCAACAAAGCAAGCACUGAGUUUAGUUACCUCCCAGGCCAAAGGAAUACAGAGCAAUGAAUAUACUUUCUGAAGAGGAAGAGUCAGGGGUUUCUGUGCACUAGGAAGGGAGGAGGUUCUUGGUGUUUACAGUAAUUCAUAAUUGAAAGGUUUUACUCUGGCAAAGUCAGAAUGUGUCUAUUAAUCUGUGUAUGCUUGGUUAAAACAAGCCGAGUUGCUCGUUGGUUAGGAGUGUUAGGUCCAGUAAGGGUCUGAGGAACUGGGGUCACUCCCAGUUCUUAGUUGCCCAUCUGUGUUCUUUGGGUAGUGGUGGUGGUGUUGCUAAAGGUCAUGGUUAUUUUACAACUUCAAUUGGUUAAAAUCUGUUGUAGUGAAACAAAGCAAGUGCAGCUGUCAGAAGAAAAUAUUGUUUUCUCCUUUGAUAAGGUGGAGGCUUGGGAAGGAGGCUUGGGAAAUAGAGCAGGUUGUGACAGAUAUACACUGCUACGAAAGGGAACACACUGGGCUAGUGGCCCUAUCCUCUAGCUCCCCUGGUAAUCUUGGGAAGGGAAGCUGCAAGACUUGAGGAGAAGCCGGCUUUGGCUUGGCAGUGUGUCCAAUGUGUCUGGGGAGCCAUAGCAGCUUGGCUUUGGGGAUCUGAGGCAGAGCUCCGAGCUCCCCGAAGCUUGCUGUAGUGUAGACUCUAGCAGGGAAUAAUUGCAUAAUGACCCCAAAGGCCAGAUGGGACAAGUAGUAUCCCAAAAGGCAAAAGGUCAGGAAUGGGCCAGACCAGCUACCAGCAAUGAAUAGGUCACACUGUGAAGGUCAUAGCCCUCUUUUCCAUCGCCAUGAGCUGUUUGGGGAGAGAGAAUGAACAGAAUUCUCUUUCUCUCUCAAAAAAUGAAUUAUCAAAAGACAUGGUAUGAAAGGGAAGAGCCUGAGAUAAUAUUAAUUGGCAAGUUUGUUUUUUCACCUGCUUCUCAACAGGAUCCAAGCUUGGAGGAAGAAUAGAUCAGUCAUAGGAAAUAAGCCACACUUUCCUUGAAAAGCUGAGUAGUAGUGUGCAAAUUUAUGAUUCUGCUAUAUACAUAUAAUUCAAUAUUUAUAUGAAAACAUUUAAACUUAAUGUUCUAUAAUUUGAAAGUGAACAAACCACUAAAUUCCAUUUCAGGGUCUUUAUCACAUGUUACCAUUCCAGCCCUCUGUCUAAUCCCCUCAUGUGGCUAUAGAGCUGUAAAUGAGCUGUGAGUCCUCAGUGACCUGUGUGUCCUCUCUGUUCAGCCCUCUCCCAGGCUUCAGGUUGCUCAGGAUCAAAGCCUCUGCUAGCUUUGUUUUCCCCUAGAAAGUCUCUUUACUUUUGGUCUCUUCCUCUGAGUAACUAAGAAGAGGAGCAAGAGACUGCAUCUACUUCUUCACUAAAAUCAGAUUUUCUACCCAAGAGGGAAUGUGCAAAACCCUCUUUCUGCUUGGAAAGAAUAAUAGGUGUGUAAUUUGGGUCUCUCCAAUCACAUGAGUUUCUCUCUCACUUUUCCCCCCAGAGAGUGGAAUGGAAGUGACUUUUUCUCUCUUCUAUUUGCUGUCUUAAGCUGGAAAUUGCAUGAAGCAUGAUCUGCAAGCAACAGAAUGUUAGAAAUUCUUCCUGCUUCUCCAUGCUCUUGAUUUGGAGGCAGGAAAGGACCGUGAAUGUUGCAAUGGAAUGCAUUUGAAGGCAAGGGCCACAGGUGAGGAGUGUAUAUGGUUUUGUGUGUGUGCACAUACAUGGGUGCCAUCCAUGAGGCUCCUUUCGGAAUGUCUCUUUUCCCCUAAUCUCCACUCCUAGCCUCUUUCACUUCCCCUUCCUCGCAAUUACUCUUUAUUCCCAAGAGAGGAUUACACAGAAGACAGCCUCUCCAUGAAGCAUCUUCCAAGUGGCUGAUACUACGAAGACUCCAUGAAGUCCCACUUACCAGCACAGGAUGGAACAGAUCCUAUGUCAAUACAUCCAGAAUUUUGGCUAGAAAAUGUUAGCUAAUUUUUGUGUUUCCCCAAACUGGUUCUUAGAAAUCCAAGUCUUGACUUUUAAAACUUGUCUCUGAGUUUUAAGGGCUCAUUUUGGAAUGUAAAAGAUAAUCACUGUUUUGAUUGUUUUAAUGUUCUACAAUCGUGAUUUGGGGUCAUGAGAAAACCUCAUUGUCCUAGAGUGAAAAUAAUUUGAGUUUUGUGCUUCAAUAUUUCAUUCCACUUCUUUGAGUAUUUGGAUAAAUGCCCAUGAAUUAAGUAAGAACCAAUGACAGCCUUAGAGUCAUGAUUUCUUUAUUUAAUUUUUCAGCUGCUUCUCUUUGCAAACAACAACAACAAACCAACCCCAAGCCCACAGAUGGCGUUAGUCAUCCUAAUAAUACACAUCAAUUAAAACUGUGAGUCGGGAUCCAGCCUCAUUUGCUUUGAGCAACAGGACACACUCAGGAGGCACCUGAGGAGCCCAUCAAUCUGUCGCCGGAAAGGGGAGAGGUGGCAGGAGAAAGGAAGUAAUUGGAUUGUGCUUCAGUGGGACUUUUUCUCUAGCUGGAAGCGUAGCUGGAGAAAUACGAAGCAGAGCCAUCCCUGAGGUCAGCCAGAGCUGCCAGCCUGCAUUCAAUGUCCCAUCAGUUCAGUUGUGUGAAGAAAUCAUCGGCUUGAUCAGCUUCAUUUUAGAAGCUUUCUGAUAUGCUGGGAUUUUUUUUUUAUAUUGUUUCCUGAGCUUUUGGAAUCCUGACAAGGAUUUAUCCAUGUGGUGAAUGUGCAUCUGGCUAAUUCUUCUGUUGUAUCCUGUCCAGAGUGUAUCCACUAUGUGAUUCUUACAACCCCAGUUAUAGGCACCAUUGUUGGCUCAAGACUUUGCUGCUACAAACAACACUGUGAGGACCAUUCUUUUCCAUGCCCCUAUACCAUCAUGGAGACACCAUCAUGUAGGAAAUGUGAACCUUUUACCCAUCUCUUCAGGACUCCCGAAGACAGAGAUGAGCCUUCUGUUCCCAGUGAUCACAGGGCCCCAGGAUGAAGCUAGCCUCAAGAUAAUAAAUCAGAGAGUAAAAUAAUUUUGCAACAUGCAGCUCUGGAAAGGGGAGUCAUUGAAGCAUAGGAAAAAAAUGGAAGCCCACCUUCAUUUCUUUUUCCUGCUAAAAAAUAGCUCGUUGGUCUUCAUUGGUCCAAGUUUUCUGCUCUGGGUGA